RNAcentral lists this ribosomal RNA (523 nucleotides) under uncultured bacterium. RNAcentral describes it as "partial 16S ribosomal RNA". It matches the Rfam family "Bacterial small subunit ribosomal RNA", at positions 28 to 523 of the family's 1533-position model. The record is from RNAcentral.
GACGAACGCUGGCGGCGUGCCUAAUACAUGCAAGUCGGACGCUUUUUCUUUCACCGGAGCUUGCUCCACCGAAAGAAAAAGAGUGGCGAACGGGUGAGUAACACGUGGGUAACCUGCCCAUCAGAAGGGGAUAACACUUGGAAACAGGUGCUAAUACCGUAUAACACUAUUUUCCGCAUGGAAGAAAGUUGAAAGGCGCUUUUGCGUCACUGAUGGAUGGACCCGCGGUGCAUUAGCUAGUUGGUGAGGUAACGGCUCACCAAGGCAACGAUGCAUAGCCGAACUGAGAGGGUGAUCGGCCACACUGGGACUGAGACACGGUCCAGACUCCUACGGGAGGCAGCAGUAGGGAAUCUUCGGCAAUGGACGAAAGUCUGACCGAGCAACGCCGCGUGAGUGAAGAAGGUUUUCGGAUCGUAAAACUCUGUUGUUAGAGGAGAACAAGGAUGAGAGUAAAACGUUCAUCCCUUGACGGUAUCUAACCAGAAAGCCACGGCUAUCUACGUGCCAGCCGCCGCAGUAA